CACGUAGGGCGCAAGCGUUGUCCGGAAUUAUUGGGCGUAAAGAGCUCGUAGGCGGUCUGUUGCGUCCGCUGUGAAAUCUCGGGGCUUAACCCCGAGCCUGCAGUGGAUACGGGCAGACUAGAGGUAGGUAGGGGAGAAUGGAAUUCCCGGUGUAGCGGUGAAAUGCGCAGAUAUCGGGAGGAACACCGGUGGCGAAGGCGGUUCUCUGGGGCUUACCUGACGCUGAGGAGCGAAAGCGUGGGGAGCGAACAGG
This 253-nucleotide ribosomal RNA is filed under the name uncultured bacterium. Its description in RNAcentral is "partial 16S ribosomal RNA". It matches the Rfam family "Bacterial small subunit ribosomal RNA", at positions 524 to 776 of the family's 1533-position model. The record is from RNAcentral.